CUGUAGUUCAGACUUGUCUGUUUACAAUAAAAUAUAGGUCUCAUGUACAAAUAAGAGUUAUGAUACAUUUAUCCAACUUAUUCGUAGUUUCUGCGCACUAUUUCAUUACGUUUCAAUUUGCAGGCCUUUCUCUCUUUCUGUGAGGGAUGUGAAGUUGAUAUUCACUUGUGCUUUGAGAAAGCUGGCGAGUAAGGAGGCCCAAACCUAUUUCCCAACCUCAACUUAAAACUUAGAAGAUGUUCCGUCACCACGGGCUCCAUUCAUGCGACUUGACUCGUACCACUGGUCCAAACCAGUGGUAAGCUCUGCUUCACUUUCCCCCCCUCGUUGUCCGCCAUCAAUCCGUCCCUGUCUGCACCCUCUGAUUCCAUGACUAAUUUAAGGAGAACCUAUGUUGGACAGGGAGCCUGGUAUAUAUUCUUAUUUCCCAGUUACACUCCGAGGCUCUGUACAAUUACCCUCCUACUCUUCACGUUGAUAACCCUGUCAAGCAUCAAAUUCAUUUCAUUACACGGCUACUUCUGAUGUCAUUGACAUGAGCCGGUCUACGUAGAAUCAGGAGAAGGGGCCAACUAAUUUUUCAUUUUCUGGGCCUCCUUUCUUGAAUGAACAAAGUGGCCAUGGCUUAAUGGUCAGGAAAUCAAAUGCAGUCUGUUCCUUCCGGACUUUUCCAUUGCUUCAGCACCUUCGGGCAAGUUAUGUGUCAACUUUCUGCAAGUAGAAAACUGUCUCUUUUGGGUAUACAUCAAGUGCCUAAAUUUUUGAAACAACAGGUCAAGCUUGGACCCUUGGUUUUUAAACAUCCUGAAACUCCUCCUUAAAUAUCUCUCAAGUCCAUUUUGGCACACAAUGGACGUUACUAGCCGCUGAUGAAGGGCUUGACACUUUUAUUUAGUUUCUCAAGGAUUGUUCCCGUUAACUAGGUUCCGGUUGUGAGAGUCCCAGGAGUCUCUCAAUCGCAAAUACUUUUUUUCCCCUCUACUUUAAUAGAUAUUUAAAAUUAUAGUGAACCAUAAUCCAAUGUCGAAAUACCAUGUUAAAGAGUUAAAACUCUAAAGUACCGACAUCUAUAACAAUGCAUGGGUGCCAAGAUGACAAGAACAAUAAACUUAAUGCCUAUUGGAGAUGAAAAUAUACUCCAAAAGAGCAUACUUAAUAC
This is a long non-coding RNA of Daucus carota subsp. sativus, 1159 nucleotides long. RefSeq lists it as uncharacterized. The record is from RefSeq and is a predicted model, not a curated record. Lineage: Eukaryota; Viridiplantae; Streptophyta; Magnoliopsida; Apiales; Apiaceae. The transcript is spliced from 3 exons.